RNAcentral lists this ribosomal RNA (924 nucleotides) under Saccharomyces cerevisiae (brewer's yeast). RNAcentral describes it as "eukaryotic LSU rRNA". It matches the Rfam family "Eukaryotic large subunit ribosomal RNA", at positions 24 to 963 of the family's 3401-position model. Lineage: Eukaryota; Fungi; Ascomycota; Saccharomycetes; Saccharomycetales; Saccharomycetaceae. The record is from RNAcentral.
CCCGCUGAACUUAAGCAUAUCAAUAAGCGGAGGAAAAGAAACCAACCGGGAUUGCCUUAGUAACGGCGAGUGAAGCGGCAAAAGCUCAAAUUUGAAAUCUGGUACCUUCGGUGCCCGAGUUGUAAUUUGGAGAGGGCAACUUUGGGGCCGUUCCUUGUCUAUGUUCCUUGGAACAGGACGUCAUAGAGGGUGAGAAUCCCGUGUGGCGAGGAGUGCGGUUCUUUGUAAAGUGCCUUCGAAGAGUCGAGUUGUUUGGGAAUGCAGCUCUAAGUGGGUGGUAAAUUCCAUCUAAAGCUAAAUAUUGGCGAGAGACCGAUAGCGAACAAGUACAGUGAUGGAAAGAUGAAAAGAACUUUGAAAAGAGAGUGAAAAAGUACGUGAAAUUGUUGAAAGGGAAGGGCAUUUGAUCAGACAUGGUGUUUUGUGCCCUCUGCUCCUUGUGGGUAGGGGAAUCUCGCAUUUCACUGGGCCAGCAUCAGUUUUGGUGGCAGGAUAAAUCCAUAGGAAUGUAGCUUGCCUCGGUAAGUAUUAUAGCCUGUGGGAAUACUGCCAGCUGGGACUGAGGACUGCGACGUAAGUCAAGGAUGCUGGCAUAAUGGUUAUAUGCCGCCCGUCUUGAAACACGGACCAAGGAGUCUAACGUCUAUGCGAGUGUUUGGGUGUAAAACCCAUACGCGUAAUGAAAGUGAACGUAGGUUGGGGCCUCGCAAGAGGUGCACAAUCGACCGAUCCUGAUGUCUUCGGAUGGAUUUGAGUAAGAGCAUAGCUGUUGGGACCCGAAAGAUGGUGAACUAUGCCUGAAUAGGGUGAAGCCAGAGGAAACUCUGGUGGAGGCUCGUAGCGGUUCUGACGUGCAAAUCGAUCGUCGAAUUUGGGUAUAGGGGCGAAAGACUAAUCGAACCAUCUAGUAGCUGGUUCCUGCCG